Molecule: ribosomal RNA, 788 nt
Filed under: uncultured archaeon
Lineage: Archaea
Description: bacterial SSU rRNA
Rfam family: Archaeal small subunit ribosomal RNA
Source: RNAcentral
ACGGCUCAGUAACACGUAUUCAACAUGCCCAGGGGACGUGGAUAACCUCGGGAAACUGAGGAUAAACCGCGAUAGGUCAUCACUUCUGGAAUGGGUAAUGACUUAAACCUAUAUGGCCCCUGGAUUGGACUGCGGCCGAUCAGGCUGUUGGUGAGGUAAUGGCCCACCAAACCUGUAACCGGUACGGGCUCUGAGAGGAGGAGCCCGGAGAUGGGCACUGAGACAAGGGCCCAGGCCCUAUGGGGCGCAGCAGGCGCGAAACCUCUGCAAUAGGCGAAAGCUUGACAGGGUUACUCUGAGUGAUUUCCGUUAAGGAGAUCUUUUGGCACCUCUAAAAAUGGUGCAAAAUAAGGGGUGGGCAAGUCUGGUGUCAGCCGCCGCGGUAAUACCAGCACCCCGAGUGGUCGGGACGUUUAUUGGGCCUAAAGCAUCCGUAGCCGGUUCUACAAGUCUUCCGUUAAAUCCACCUGCUUAACAGAUGGGCUGCGGAAGAUACUAUAGAGCUAGGAGGCGGGAGAGGCAAGCGGUACUCGAUGGGUAGGGGUAAAAUCCGUUGAUCCAUUGAAGACCACCAGUGGCGAAGGCGGCUUGCCAGAACGCGCUCGACGGUGAGGGAUGAAAGCUGGGGGAGCAAACCGGAUUAGAUACCCGGGUAGUCCCAGCUGUAAACGAUGCAGACUCGGUGAUGAAUUGGCUUAUUGCUAAUUCAGUGCCGCAUGGAAGCCGAUAAGUUUGCCGCCUGAGGAGUACGGUCGCAAGACUGAAACUUAAAGGAAUUGGCGGGGGAG